UGGAGCUCAGUUGUUAGAGAGCUUGCCUAGCAAGCAUGAAGUCCUGGGUUCAAUCCCCAGCA
Molecule: transfer RNA, 62 nt
Filed under: Mus musculus (house mouse)
Lineage: Eukaryota; Metazoa; Chordata; Mammalia; Rodentia; Muridae
Rfam family: tRNA
About the family: Transfer RNA (tRNA) molecules are approximately 80 nucleotides in length.
Source: Rfam by way of RNAcentral